UCGAGAAUUUUUCUCAAUGGGCGAAAGCCUGAAGGAGCGACGCCGCGUGGAGGAUGAAGGUCUUCGGAUUGUAAACUCCUGUCAUUGGGGAACAAAGCUUCCGGUUAACUGCCGGCGAGUCUGAUAGUACCCGAAGAGGAAGAGACGGCUAACUCUGUGCCAGCAGCCGCGGUAAUACAGAGGUCUCAAGCGUUGUUCGGAUUCAUUGGGCGUAAAGGGUGCGUAGGCGGCGGGGUAAGUCGGAUGUGAAAUCCCAGGGCUCAACCCUGGAACUGCAUUCGAUACUGCCUUGCUCGAGUACUGGAGAGGAGACUGGAAUUUACGGUGUAGCAGUGAAAUGCGUAGAUAUCGUAAGGAAGACCAGUGGCGAAGGCGAGUCUCUGGACAGUUACUGACGCUGAGGCACGAAGGCCAGGGGAGCAAACGG
Molecule: ribosomal RNA, 427 nt
Filed under: uncultured bacterium
Lineage: Bacteria
Description: bacterial SSU rRNA
Rfam family: Bacterial small subunit ribosomal RNA
Source: RNAcentral